Long non-coding RNA from Amphiprion ocellaris (clown anemonefish), 431 nucleotides. Lineage: Eukaryota; Metazoa; Chordata; Actinopteri; Pomacentridae. The record is from Ensembl.
GAGGAAUUGGAAGUUUGUCGGCUUAGACCUGGUGUCAUUCCAUCAGUGUUAAACUUCCCGGCUCAUCUUGGAAGAGUACGUGCCAGAAAGACCACGACCAAGCAGCCUUGAGAUCUUAGACAGCGUCUCCCUGAGACCAAAGAACUACAGACUCUUCACAACCUGCUCAAACUCUUGGUACAGGACCUCACCACAUGGGUCAAGAAGGUUGCUUUGUAGAACUGUUGCAGAAAACCUCACUAAACCACAUGGAGGGGCCUCAAGAUAGUCGUCCAAAUGAAACCAUACAAAAACCAAACGAGCACAACCCAAACGCUAAAGUCUCCUGCAGCCUACCAGAGAACCUCUGAGAACAGAGAAUCAGGACAGGAACUCUUACCUUCUGGACAACCAAUGUUGGUUCACAAACAAGAAUACAGAAUGUGUCUGAC